This 74-nucleotide transfer RNA is filed under the name Nitrospirota bacterium. RNAcentral's name for it is "Nitrospirae bacterium (sediment metagenome) tRNA-Pro". It matches the Rfam family "tRNA". From Rfam's summary of the family: Transfer RNA (tRNA) molecules are approximately 80 nucleotides in length. Their secondary structure includes four short double-helical elements and three loops (D, anti-codon, and T loops). The record is from RNAcentral. Lineage: Bacteria; Pseudomonadati; Nitrospirota.
CGGGGCGUAGCGCAGUUUGGUAGCGCGUACGGUUCGGGACCGUAAGGCCGCUGGUUCAAAUCCAGUCGCCCCGA